ACACCUCAACUCUCAUGGUUUGCCAUGACGAGCUUGGAAUUUGGGGGUCUUGCUGGCCUAUGGUCAGCUCCUCUAAAAUGAAUCAGCUUGCCAGUGUUUGGUGGCAUCACAGGUGUGAUAACUAUCUACGCUUGUGAAUUUCCACCAGAUAACCUUCAGCAAUGAAGGUUCGCUGGGGCUCAUAAAUGUCUCUCCUCAGCAGAGAUGGCUCCUUUGAAU
This 219-nucleotide unclassified non-coding RNA is filed under the name uncultured Thelephoraceae. RNAcentral describes it as "sequence contains ITS2". The record is from RNAcentral. Lineage: Eukaryota; Fungi; Basidiomycota; Agaricomycetes; Thelephorales; Thelephoraceae.